Chelonoidis abingdonii (Abingdon island giant tortoise) is the source of this 915-nucleotide non-coding RNA. The record is from RefSeq and is a predicted model, not a curated record. NCBI's taxonomy places the organism in Eukaryota, Metazoa, Chordata, Testudines, Testudinidae.
GGCAUGUAUUGCGGGGGAGAUGCUGCAGGGGUGCGUGUCUGGGGGUGCAUAGUGCAGGAUGCAUGUCUCAGGGCUGCAUGUUUCAGGGGGUGUAGUGCAGGGGUGUGAUGCAGGGUGUGUGUCUGGGGGUGCGACGCAGGAUACAUGUUUCGGGGUGUGAUGCAGGGUGUGUGUUUUGGGGUGCGAUGCAGGAUGAGUGUUUUGGGGUGCGAUGCAUGGUAUGUGUCUCGGGGUGUGUAGUGCCAGGGGUGCGAUGCAGAGUGUGUGUCUGGGGGAGUGAUGCAGGAUACGUGUUUCGGGUGCGAUGCAGGGUGUGUGUCUCAGGGUGCGUAGUGCAGGGGUACGAUGCAGGGUGCAUGUCUGGGGGUGUGAUGCAAGAUGUGUGUUUCAGGGUGCGAUGCAGGGUAUGUGUUUCAGGGUGUGAUGUAGGGUGCGUGUCUGGGGGUGCGCUGCAGGAUGCAUGUUUCGGGGUGUGCUGCAGGAUGUGUGUUUUGGGGUGCGUAGUGCACUGGUGCGAUGCAGGGUGCAUGUUUCGGGGUGCGAUGUAGGGUGCAUGUCUGGGGGUGUGAUGUAGAAUGCAUGUUUCGGGGUGUGCAGCAGGAUGCGUGUUUUGGGGUGCGAUGUAGGAUGCGUGUCUGGGGGUGCGAUGCAGGAUGCAUGUUUUGGGGUGCAAUGCAGGAUGCAUGUUUUGGGGUGCAUAGUGCAGGGGUGUGAUGGAGGAUACAUGUUUCAGGGUGCGCUGCAAGAUGCGUGUUUCCUGGUGCAUAGUGCAGGGGUGCAAUGCAGGAUGUGUGUUUCAGGGUGUAUAGUGCAGGUUUGCGUGUCUCUGGGCUGCGUGUCUCUGAGGCGUGUCACAUGUGGGCGCGCCGUGUGUCCAGGGUUGCCUGGGAGCUUUGGUCUCUGCCUGUCGCCGUG